Molecule: ribosomal RNA, 1369 nt
Filed under: uncultured bacterium
Lineage: Bacteria
Description: bacterial SSU rRNA
Rfam family: Bacterial small subunit ribosomal RNA
Source: RNAcentral
GACGAACGCUGGCGGCGUGCCUAAUACAUGCAAGUAGAACGCUGAAGAGAGGAGCUUGCUCUUCUUGGAUGAGUUGCGAACGGGUGAGUAACGCGUAGGUAACCUGCCUUGUAGCGGGGGAUAACUAUUGGAAACGAUAGCUAAUACCGCAUAACAAUGGAUGACACAUGUCAUUUAUUUGAAAGGGGCAAUUGCUCCACUACAAGAUGGACCUGCGUUGUAUUAGCUAGUAGGUGAGGUAAUGGCUCACCUAGGCGACGAUACAUAGCCGACCUGAGAGGGUGAUCGGCCACACCGGGACUGAGACACGGCCCAGACUCCUACGGGAGGCAGCAGUAGGGAAUCCUCGGCAAUGGGGGCAACCCUGACCGAGCAACGCCGCGUGAGUGAAGAAGGUUUUCGGAUCGUAAAGCUCUGUUGUAAGUCAAGAACGGGUGUGAGAGUGGAAAGUUCACACUGUGACGGUAGCUUACCAGAAAGGGACGGCUAACUACGUGCCAGCAGCCGCGGUAAUACGUAGGUCCCGAGCGUUGUCCGGAUUUAUUGGGCGUAAAGCGAGCGCAGGCGGUUUGAUAAGUCUGAAGUUAAAGGCUGUGGCUCAACCAUAGUUCGCUUUGGAAACUGUCAAACUUGAGUGCAGAAGGGGAGAGUGGAAUUCCAUGUGUAGCGGUGAAAUGCGUAGAUAUAUGGAGGAACACCGGUGGCGAAAGCGGCUCUCUGGUCUGUAACUGACGCUGAGGCUCGAAAGCGUGGGGAGCGAACAGGAUUAGAUACCCUGGUAGUCCACGCCGUAAACGAUGAGUGCUAGGUGUUGGAUCCUUUCCGGGAUUCAGUGCUGCAGCUAACGCAUUAAGCACUCCGCCUGGGGAGUACGACCGCAAGGUUGAAACUCAAAGGAAUUGACGGGGGCCCGCACAAGCGGUGGAGCAUGUGGUUUAAUUCGAAGCAACGCGAAGAACCUUACCAGGUCUUGACAUCCCGAUGCUAUUUCUAGAGAUAGAAAGUUACUUCGGUACAUCGGUGACAGGUGGUGCAUGGUUGUCGUCAGCUCGUGUCGUGAGAUGUUGGGUUAAGUCCCGCAACGAGCGCAACCCCUAUUGUUAGUUGCCAUCAUUCAGUUGGGCACUCUAGCGAGACUGCCGGUAAUAAACCGGAGGAAGGUGGGGAUGACGUCAAAUCAUCAUGCCCCUUAUGACCUGGGCUACACACGUGCUACAAUGGUUGGUACAACGAGUUGCGAGUCGGUGACGGCGAGCUAAUCUCUUAAAGCCAAUCUCAGUUCGGAUUGUAGGCUGCAACUCGCCUACAUGAAGUCGGAAUCGCUAGUAAUCGCGGAUCAGCACGCCGCGGUGAAUACGUUCCCGGGCCU